Long non-coding RNA from Trichoplusia ni (cabbage looper), 752 nucleotides. RefSeq lists it as uncharacterized. The transcript is spliced from 4 exons. NCBI's taxonomy places the organism in Eukaryota, Metazoa, Arthropoda, Insecta, Lepidoptera, Noctuidae. The record is from RefSeq and is a predicted model, not a curated record.
ACAUAUACAAUAUUAAAAGGAGUUUGAAUAUCCAUAUAUCCUCAUUGGCUGUAUAAUAUACGAUGUCUGUCAAUGUCAACAUAACGUGUCAUUCACCAAAACGUAGUUUCAGUAAUAAUUGAAAAUGUAGCGAUUCUUAGGAAUAUGGAAUCAUUUCACGAUGUAAACCUUACUGGGUGAGUAAUUCCAUAAUGUCGUGGUGCCCUCGCGAUUCAAUGAACGGAAGUGUAUGUUCAUAGGUUGCAGGUUCGAACCAAGUGUUAUAGGGCCUUCACAGCAAGAUAUAAGGCCACUGUAAUAAGGGCUACCAAUGCGAUAUUUUCAAAGUUGAUGUGUGAUAAAGGGCAGGAGUGCGGCAGCAAGGCGUGGAGUUUGCAGGCAGCAAAUAAAAGAUACAUGCCAAAUAUAAGAUGGCAUUUGUGUGGAUAUUCGUCUACGGUGUUGUUGUUUGCGGUAUAUUGAAAUGGCACGACGCAAUGAAAUUCGAAACUCUGAAAGAGUUCUGUUCAAAAUUCAAGUGUUUGGUGGAUGAGCUGUCCGUGUACUUCGAGCCAUGCGGCUUCCCAAUCGAGCUGGUCGCGAGGUUCUGUAUGGAUACAUUGCAGCAAAUAGGCUGAACGCUUACCUCGCCAUGACAGAAGACAUUUCGUUGUAACUAGACAUACGGAUCCCAAUUAAUUUAGUAAACAUGGUUACAGUGAAAACGAAUCCUGCACAGCGUGCAAAUGAAAUAAAUAAAAUUGUAAAAUCAU